Lolium perenne is the source of this 2094-nucleotide non-coding RNA. The record is from RefSeq and is a predicted model, not a curated record. NCBI's taxonomy places the organism in Eukaryota, Viridiplantae, Streptophyta, Magnoliopsida, Poales, Poaceae.
AGGAAGGGCGCGGAGCACCGGAGCGUGCCGAGGGGCGCCGGGAUGCGGCGCUCGUCGUCGCAUCAGCAGGAAAAGCUGGACUCGUCGACCGCAUCGCUCAAGGACAGCGAGUGCGGCUCCACCAGCUCCGUGCUCACCGCGGCGACCACCGUGUCCACCGUGUACAGCCGGACCCGCUCGCUCGUCGGAUUCGAGGUGAGAAAUUUAUAACCCAACGACAACCUCUCUCCUCCUCCCCAACGGUGGCGCGCCGCCUCUCCCCAGGAUGGAACCGGACGGGGACGACCGCGGUGGCAGGAGCGCGCACGGAGGAGGGCGAUGGCGCGGACAGUGGUGGCGGCGCGCUGCCUUGAGAAGCUCGUCCACAGCCGGCGGGGCUCGAGCGCCAUCAUCUGCUGGCUUUGGGCCGCAGCCUGGCGAGAAGCACGAGGGGGGCCGGCACGGGGAGCCCUCAGGGUCGCGGGGCCUCCUCCUCCUUGGCACCGGUGCGCCUGGCGCUGAGCAGCGGCCAUGGCGCCGCUCGCCGGAGCACAAUAGCCGUCCCGUUGCUCGUCUGACCUACCUCCCUAGGUGAGUUCUUCCAUCUCAUCUCUUUCCCCUGUUCUAAUUUCCUGAUUUUCACGGACAUGUGCUCUGAGUCAGCUUUUAUUUCUUAGGCAUUACACAAGGAAAUGGGAAAGGUGGAUCUUCCCAGCCCAGAGAAAAUCAUAGCCAUCUCCGGAUUUUGUACUGAUAGUCUCUUCCAGUUUUUAGCUUAUAUGGUUCCAGAUUUAUUCGGUGGGUUGGAUCGCUAGGUCUGGUUUUACUUCAAUUAUGAUUGUCACGUCAAUGUGAUCUUUAUUAUCGAAGUUUUUUCACCACCCAACGUAUCUGAUUAGGAUCUGAUAUGAAAACAGAUUUGCUGAUAAUCAACCACUCUUUUGCAUAGUAAGCAUAUGUAUUUUUUCUGAAUGCAACUCAUGUUGAUAAAUUGAGCAUACUGUUGCUGCCCUACUUUCGCUUGUAGUAGAUUACAGAGAUAUUGUCCAGGCUAGAAAGAAAGAAUGGAGGGUGAGCGAAGAGUGCGGUGCAACAGCCUGGCAGGCGGCGGGACUGGUGUUCAAGACCACAAGCGCGGCUUCAGAGGGCAAGGUACGACAGGUGGUCUUGUGAUGAGAUGUGAGGUUGGAUGGAGCUUUGAGGACUUCCGGUUUGGUGGCGGCAUGCGACUUGUGGAGUUGUCUCAGACAACUUCACAAUUUAUUAUUUCCCCAAUUAGACUGCUGUUUUGAUUCUCAAAUGUGGAGAAGGGUGUGGCUGACCUAGAGGAAAUGGUUACAAUAUCUGUCUGAAAUAUGCGGAAGACACAAUAUAAGUUGCUGGUUAUAGGCAUGAGGAUAUUCUUCAAUGAUUCAUGGAAAUUAUAAUGUGGGGGACCUCAAAGAAUUUUUCUCAAGGAAAUCCCAAUACUGACAUGUUUGCGCGAAUGGCUGUUCUAAUCUUGCUCGAUGGUCGAGAUCCCAUAGAGUAGAAUCAAGGGAUUUCUACAAUCUGGAGAAGUCCAUACAUUUGGGUAUGCAAGAUCAAGCACUUCUGAUAAGCUUUGCAGUCUUCUCAGUUGCAGGUUGGGUCAAAUUUUGCUUCUGAGAUUGCGGCCACAAUUCUCAUUGGAUUGCAUAUGUCAGAAACUUGUUCACGUUUUAGUUUAAACAAGGAGACGGAGAAACACGUGGUGAAACCAUUCACGUGUGGAGAUUGCAUAUGCCCAACACAUAAACUUUUUGGGAUCAAAUUCAAUGUGCGAAUGAGCUGCAAGUGUGGGAAGUGUUCUGGCGAAUACCCAUAUACCGCACUUUUCCAUAAACUUGAUGCUGGUUCACCUCAAACAACAAAGAUCAAGUCCUUUGCAGAGCUUCCAGUUCUAUUGGAUGAACGGUUCUGUGAGGACAACAAAUGCAAGGAUUGUGGAAUUAUGCUGAAUAUUGAUCUGUUGCUUUCAAACACACCACAUUUCUUUACAAUAGGUAAAGUGGCUUGUCUCAAUUAAUAAGUUGCAAUUUAUGUAGCCAUUUUUGUGGCAAAACAGAAAAUGACAUUCCAGAUGUAUAACUCUUA